CGGUUCACCGAGAAAUGGGAGUGGCGAACGGGUGAGUAACACGUGGGUAACCUACCCAUCAGCGGGGGAUAACACUUGGAAACAGGUGCUAAUACCGCAUAAUUCUUUUCUUCGCCUGGAGGAAAGAUGAAAGACGCUUUUGCGUCACUGAUGGAUGGACCCGCGCUGCAUUAGCUAGUUGGUGGGGUAACGGCUCACCAAGGCCACGAUGCAUAGCCGACCUGAGAGGGUGAUCGGCCACACUGGGACUGAGACACGGCCCAGACUCCUACGGGAGGCAGCAGUAGGGAAUCUUCGGCAAUGGACGAAAGUCUGACCGAGCAACGCCGCGUGAGUGAAGAAGGUUUUCGGAUCGUAAAACUCUGUUGUUAGAGAAGAAUAAGGAUGAGAGUAGAAUGUUCAUCCCUUGACGGUAUCUAACCAGAAAGCCACGGCUAACUACGUGCCAGCAGCCGCGGUAAUACGUAGGUGGCAAGCGUUGUCCGGAUUUAUUGGGCGUAAAGCGAGCGCAGGCGGUUUCUUAAGUCUGAUGUGAAAGCCCCCGGCUUAACCGGGGAGGGUCAUUGGAGACUGGGAGACUUGAGUGCAGAAGAGGAGAGUGGAAUUCCAUGUGUAGCGGUGAAAUGCGUAGAUAUAUGGAGGAACACCAGUGGCGAAGGCGACUCUCUGGUCUGUAACUGACGCUGAGGC
RNAcentral lists this ribosomal RNA (690 nucleotides) under uncultured Enterococcus sp. RNAcentral describes it as "bacterial SSU rRNA". It matches the Rfam family "Bacterial small subunit ribosomal RNA", at positions 76 to 752 of the family's 1533-position model. The record is from RNAcentral. Lineage: Bacteria; Bacillati; Bacillota; Bacilli; Lactobacillales; Enterococcaceae.